GUGUGUGUGUGUGUGUGUGUGUGACACUAGGAGACACCUCAGGAUUUGGGGUUGCGACAGUCAAGGGGUUAAUAAAAAUCAGUGCAUGGAUGGUGAGGUGAGGUUAACAAAAAAUAUAAUAGAGAGAGCUAAGGAGUUGUUGAGGUUGUUUGGGCAUUUAGAGAGGAUGGAGCACAAUAGGAUGAGUAAGAGCAUAUAUAAAUCUGAGGUGGAAGGUGGAGGGGCAGGAUCAUACCAGGAAAGGCUAAAGAGAAAGAUGGAAAAGGAGGUUUUGAGUGUUAGGGGCUUGACUGAGUGCCUUAGACUGGAGUGGAAGCUAGUGCUUUUUACGAUUUGAUGUGCUGUAGGUGUGUGAGGAAGGUAACAUUUAUGAAGGGAUUUAGGGCAGUGUCUGCACUCUAGAGUGGAGGUGAGGAUGUUGCAGUGUGGAGGGUCACCUGAACUAUGAUGUUAAUGCAGACAUUUCAGUCUUUAUUUUCUCACCCUACCUCACCAAGUGACAGUUAAAAAAAAUAUCAGAUUUUGAUUUCCAGGCAUUGUUUUAAAAAACUUUCCUGAUUGGCUUCAAACUUUCAGAAUAGGUUUAAGCAGUUUUGAAAUUUGAAGAAUAUUUUGACUAUGUAGAUCACUCAGUCCUCACUGCAAGAAAAAAAAAAAAAAAAAGAGAACGUGCAAUUUUGUUGUUCUUGAGUAACUGUUACUCAAGAAAUUCUCAAGUACUCGCACACCAAGCCAUAAACAACAACAAAGAAAAAUAAUAAAGUUUAAGUUUAGGAGUGAGAAUAUGAUCAUCAUGAUCAUCAUAAGAUGUAAAAAAGAAAUGUACUUUCAACAGAUUUAAUGUGUACUGAUUCUUGACAGUGAAGACACUGCCAACAUAUUGAACAGUGUACUAGCUACACACCAUAAGUAAAUGUUAUAUAAAAGGGUCCACACCAAUUCAUGGACAUCCAGAGUCUGAGGUAAAAGUUACAAACAUAUGUUCACUUUCAACGGUCUUCAUGAAUCCUUUCAAACUUGUCAAGUAAUCUGAAGAGAAGUUGCAAAUGUUAGUGGAUGAGUUUGGGAGGGUGUGUCAAGGAAGUUGAAAGUGAACAUAGAUAAGAGUGAGCUGAUGAGGUUAUCAAACAAAUUAGGUAAGGAAAAACUGGAUAUCUGAUUGAAGGGAAGAAGUAUGGAAGAAGUGAAUGUGUUCAGAUAUUUGGGAGUGGACUUGUUGGCAGAUGGGUUUAUGAAGGACGAGGUUAACCAUAGAAUUGAUGAAGGGAAAAAGGUUAGUGGUGCAUUGAGGUAUCUGUGGAGACAGUGUUAUCCAAGGAGGCAAAGAAGGAAAUGUAUGAGAGUACAUUUAGUGGUACCAACAUUUAUAUGGGUGUGAAGUAUGGGUUGUGAAUGUUGCAGCGAGGAGGUUGGAGGCAGUGGAGAUGUUGUGUCUGAAGGCAGUGUGUGUCAUAAAUAUUAUGCAGAGAAUUCAUAGUGUGGAAAUUAGGAGGAGGUGUGAGGUUAAUAAAAGUUUAUCCAGAGGGCUGAGGAGGGGUUAGUAAGUAAGUAAGUAAAUUUAUUCAGGUAUUCACAAAUACAGUUACAUAGAAUUAUCAUACAUAGCAGCAUAUGUGUAGAGAACCUGGGAUAACCCAAAAAAGUCAGACAGAGUGAGGUAGUUUGGUCAUUUAGAGAGGAUGGAGAAAAAUAGCAUACUUGGAGGGUACGUAUAUAAAUCUGUAGUGGACGGAAGGCAGGGUGUGGGUCAUACUAGGAAAAGAUGGAGAGUGGGGUAAAGGUGGUUUUGUGCACAAAGGACUUGGACAUACAGCAGGUAUGUGUGAGCAUGCUAUAUAGGAGUGAAUGGAAACAAAUGGUUUUUGGGACCUGACAAUUUUUUGGAGCAUGAGUAAGGUAACUGGUUAGCCAGGCUUGAGUCCUAGAAGUAGGAAGUACAAUGCCUGCACUCUAAAGGAGGGGUUUGGGAUAUUUGCUGUUUGGAGGGACAUCUAAACUGUCGUAUCUGUGCACCUCUGGCAAGACAGUGAUAGUGUGAAUGGUGGUGAAAAUAUUUCUUUUUUCAGGUCACCCUGCCGUGGUGAGGGACAGCUGGUGUUAAAAAAUUUUAAUUAAUUUUUUUUUUAUAAAAUAGAUGCUCAAUUAUCCCUUUCUGUCUCCAGCAAUCAUGUGUAUCAGAGCUUCCCUGAACCCUUAAUAAAUGUUACCUUGCUCACACUCUGACAGUACGUUAAAUAAUUAAUGGUACUAGCUUCCACUCCAGUCUAAGGUGCUCGACCGAACCCCUAACACUCGAAUCCUCCUUUACCAUCUUUCUCUUUAGCCAUUCCUGGUAUGAUCCUGCCCCUCCACUUUCCACUCCAGAUUUAUAUAUUCUCUUACUCAUCCUAUUCUGCUCCACCCUCUCUAAAUGCCCAAACAGCCUCAACACCAUCUCCUCAGCUCUGUUAUAUUUUUGUUAACCCCUUCCUCACCAUCCAUGCAUUGAUUUUUAUUAAGUAUUAUUUUUUUUUUUCCCAACAAACCAGCCAUAUCCCUCUGAGGCAGGGUGAAGUAAAAGGAAAAAAAAAAUUCUCUUUUUAAAUUUAGUAAUGUAUGCAGGAGAAGUGGUUACUAGCUCCUUGCUCCCAACAUUUUAGUCAUCUCUUACGACACACAUGACUUUAGGAGGAAGAAUUCUGUUCCACUUCUCCAUGGAGAUAAGUAUUAAUUACCAAAAUAAAAGGAGAAAUGUGGAUCAGCUUCACAAAACUGACAGUCAGCAGUCCUUCUGAGUAGUUGCCAAACCUUUCUCAAGUGACACUUAGCCAUCAUUAAAAAUUUGAAGCAGAUUGAACUAGGCUUUCAAAUGUUAUGAACAAAAACAUUGGAGGAUAAAAAUUGACAACCGGAAUAGGUUCUUCAUGUUGUGAUUCUGAAAAAUAAGUGAAUCUAUAUUUAAAUUCUUCAUGUGCCAAGAUGAAAAAUGAAGAUACUUUUUAAGAAAGGCUAAAUAUUUUAGAGAUGUCAUUACUGACUCAAGUGAAAACAAAAAUGUAAUAUACAUACAGAGAAUUCGUAGUUUGGAAGUUAGGAGGAGGUGCGGGAUUACCAAAACUGUUGUCCAGAGGGCUGAGGAAGGGUUGUUGAGGUGGUUCGGACAUGUAGAGAGAAUGGAGCGAAACAGAAUGACUUCAAGAGUGUAUCAGUCUGUAGUGGAAGGAAGGCGGGGUAGGGGUCGGCCUAGGAAGGGUUGGAGGGAGGGGGUAAAGGAGGUUUUGUGUGCGAGGGGCUUGGACUUCCAGCAGGCAUGCGUGAGCGUGUUUGAUAGGAGUGAAUGGAGACAAAUGGUUUUUAAUACUUGACGUGCUGUUGGAGUGUGAGCAAAGUAACAUUUAUGAAGGGAUUCAGGGAAACCGGCAGGCCGGACUUGAGUCCUGGAGAUGGGAAGUACAGUGCCUGCACUCUGAAGGAGGGGUGUUAAUGUUGCAGUUUAAAAACUGUAGUGUAAAGCACCCUUCUGGCAAGACAGUGAUGGAGUGAAUGAUGGUGAAAGUUUUUCUUUUUCGGGCCACCCUGCCUUGGUGGGAAUCGGCCGGUGUGAUAAUAAAAAAUAAAAAAAACAUACAUAAGAUUAUAAAAGUAUCCCAGAGAUUUGACAAGGAAGGUUUUGUAACAUCAUCGAUAUAGAAAAGUGACCUUAGUUACAACUGAGAAGGAACAGUUUGCAAUGUGCAGUUGAGUUCUUCACACACUGCUAUAUCAGAAUUUAUGGAAGAUAAGUUCUUGUUUACAACCACUGAAGUUUCAGUGAAUUAUACUUUAUUAUAUGUUAAAUUGAUGGAACACUUCAAGCUGAGCUCUUCUCCUGUGGCUACAACAGUGCCAGCUAAACACACACACACAGACAAACACACAUGACUUUCAGUACAAACAUUGUUUUUAUUUUGUAAUAUUGUUCACUAGGUGGCCAUCUUUGCAUCAUGCCCUUGAUCAACAUAAAUUCUCAUACUUUAUGAAUAUUAAGAUUUUUUCUGCAUAUGUGUGUAAUAAACAUUUUUCUCAGAUGAAUGAGGCAGUUUUUUCUUUAUAUUGAAUAUAAUUCAUAUUUGUAUUAAUGUACAGUACAACAUUGUAUAAUCCUCCUUGUUUGAGAGGAUUUCUUCUAUAUAGUGACUUGCUGGACAUUAUAUGUGAUGGUUAUUAUAGGUCACGGGAUCGUUGCAGUACCAAGAGGAAAGGGUCUCGGCGUUCGUGCUCGCGUUCUCGCUGCAGGUCGAGAUCCUAUUCAAAAGAUCGAAAGUAUGCAAGAAAGUAAUGGUGGAAGAUAGACUGGAGUGCUGCACAUCAUCAUAGGUGAAUGUUUGCCACUGUUAACACUUUCUCAAUAGCAGUGCAAAUUUGAAGUAAGCUUUCUUUUGUUAUUUUUUUUUUCAUUUAAUACACUGUUUAAAAGAUAAAUAGAAACACAAAUUUUUUAUAAUCUAAGAAUAUUGAAAGAUUAAUUUUUCUUUUAAUAAUGUAGUAGGCGUGUAAUAAACUUUGGUUUAUUGUAAUUUCCUUGCUAGUGUAGCAUUCUCAUUCGUUGAGUCGGUGCAUUGCCUCGUUCAACAACUCGAUAAACAAUCACCUGGACUGAUGUAAAAUUGUCAUGAGGAGCCUGGGAGUAUUAUCCAAGUUUGUUCAUGGUAUUAUGAUCUGAUAUAUAAUAUAAUUUUGUACCUAAAACUUCUUGCAUCUGGCUGAUUAUUUUUGGUUGUUUCUGAGUACAUCUUCUGAUAUAUUGAAAUGAAACAAGUUGAACCUACCAUGGUAUGGGUUGGAUUAGAACCCCUGGCAAGUGAGUUAUAGAACUCCAGAUCAGUGCCAUAAGUUCUAAUCCUAUCCAUACUGUGGUUUAUUUGCAUUCGUGUUGUUAUGAUUUCGUGAAUCAUGUGAAAGUUGUUAAUAUCAAGGCAACCUGCUAGUAAUGUCAAGGCAGCCUGCUAGUAAUAUCAAGGCAGCCUGCUAGUAAUAUCAAGGCAGCCUGCUAGUAAUAUCAAGGCAGCCUGCUAGUAAUAUCAAGGCAGCCUGCUAGUAAUAUCAAGGUAGCAUGCUAGUAAUGUCAAGGCAGCCUGCAAGUAAUGUCAAGGCAGCCUGCUAGUAAUGUCAAGGCAGCCUGCUAGUAAUAUCAAGGCAGCCUGCUAGUAAUAUCAAGGCAGCCUGCUAGUAAUGUCAAGGCAGCCUGCUAGUAAUGUGGUAAUGAAGAACUGCAGAGAAAUUUGUCGUAUAUAAAGGGCAUUCAAGCAGAUAAGCUGUGGUAAAUAUGUUCUGUUCUUCUAACUAUGCAAAUAGUGUACUAAUGAGUGGUCAUCACUGAAUAAUUCUAGAAACUGUGUAAGGAGAACUGUUUGGCUGGUAUUGAUCUUUAGUGUAGUUUUUAAUAAGUGCUGUCAUAAUAGUCUAAGAAUUAGAGGGACAGUUGAUGUAGAGUUGCAGCAGAAUCCAUUACAAAGCUGCUCGCUUUAUAUUUGUCCAUCAGGUAGUGUUAUCAAACAACUAGCAAAUGCUGACUAGGGAAAACUAGUGACUAGUGUUGUCUUCAUGCAUAGGAAUAUUAACUAUCUUACCCUUGUUAAUACUAGACAAGUCAAUAUGGCUCAUGUUUGAUGAAGUAUAAACAGGCAAUAAUUUGCUCUGCUUACAUAAAAUGUCUAUUUAAUAUUUUACAUACAUGUUAGAAAUUAUUUUUAUUACUGUAAUAUCUUUUCUUAAAUUUGUGACUAGUUCCAUUAAUUUUGUGUACUGCCAGUUGAAGAGCAAGAGUUUGUGUCUAGUUAAUAAGACAUAUUUCCUGAGGAUGACCUAACAUUAAUGAAUAACUUCUUGUACACUGUUUACUUCUUCAUUUGUUGUAUAACACCUGACUUCGUAUUUCAAUAUUGAACAUACGCUUAAAAAAAUUGUGAAUUGGAUAAGAUAGUGAAGGUUUCAAGUGUGCUGCCAAUCAUUGUUUGGUUCAUUUAAUUAUAAAAAAUUUGUUGUUAAGCUUGGCAGACCAAAGAUUAUUAAAAGAAAUUUUGAUAAUUUCUUAGUGAGUUGCAGCACUAUUCUACUUUGAACAUUUAUAUUUGAUGUCAGACUAUCAGAAAUCUCUCUCCUGCUCAUUUAAAGUAUCUUACAGUAAUAUAUACAUAGAAAACUUUAUAUUAAUAUAUUCUUGAAAUUUUAUAAGUGUUGAAGUUGCAAUAAUUUUAUCAAAUGCUUCUGUACAUCUGUAAAACAUAUUUAUACUUUGGUUGAUAACUGACUUAGGGAACUAUAUUUAUUUAUGAGGUCUACGUUCAUUUCAUUUACAGAAUACCUGCAAUACUUACAAAUUACAAAAAAAAAGAUUCAGUCUAUGUACAGUGCUCAGAUAUUUUAUGUACUUAUACAUGUAAUAUUGUGCUUCGUGUCAGUAAUUAACUCGGUGAAAACAAUAAAGUUCAUGAUAUUGUAAACAUUAUAAGUUCUCUUAGUAAUAUUGCAAGAUUUGAGUCUGCAACUUGCAAAUACUUGCCUCUACAGUGGUGAAUCUCUUAAAUUCACAUACUUAUUAAAUGUAAUUAACAUCUAAAAUAUGUAAUGCAUUUUUCUCAGUUCAGUAGAUUUAGCAUAAGACUCCUUCACAUGAAAAUGUUGAGGUUAAUUCAGUUACUUGAGUAUUUUUUGAUCAUAUUGUGUUCACUAGUACUCUAGGACAGUUUAGUACUCUGCUACAAGGAUUUUGUUCAAAUGAUGUGGAACUUAGUAUACUUAUUCUUAAAGCAAGUUAGAUAAAAGUAGAGAAAAUCUUGGUAAGCCUCUGUGAUGUCUCCAGGACCUUUAUACUUUACUAAAUGAAUAUAGAAUUGAACUGUAUUGUAGUUGUUGGUACACACAAAUAUCUUGGUGUAGUUAAGGUGAACUUAACAUAUGUGGCCUCUGUUCUUGGUCUGAGUACUUGGCAGGAUGAUAACAUGACUGAGUACUUGGCAGGAUGAUAACAUGACUGAGUACUUGGCAGGAUGAUAACAUGACUGAGUACUUGGCAGGAUGAUAACAUGACUGAGUACUUGGCAGGAUGAUAACAUGACUGAGUACUUGGCAGGAUGAUAACAUGACUGGGUACUUGGCAAGAUGAUCAACACUCAAAUAAAUCUGUAUGCCAAAAGAUGGAUGAAAAGCAACUAUUCCAUUUAAUAAAUAUUAGUAAGUUGAUUAUAAAUUUUACAAGAGUUUUGGUAAAUAAAGCUUAAGAGAAAAUUAGUUGCUGCUUUAAAUAUUAGAAGACAAUAUGUUAGGCCAGCAGUUUCCUUUCAAUAGAUGGUAAUUAAGUAUAUUAAGUUGAUUUUUCUAUUUAAAGACAGACACAUUAAAGAAUACUAUCAAUCAUUGUGAAUGUUUGUAUUGUAUGAUGUUCCUAACUUGCAAAUCUGGAAAUUUCAAACACAAUACAACCUCUUAAACUUAAUUUGUUAAUGUAUAAUAUGUGUUGUAUUAUUUUUAAUGCAAGUGCUGUCCUCUGCAUGAUAGCUGUUGCCAUUGAUGACAAUCAUGAUAAUGAAAACUGGAAGUGAGUCAAUUCUUGCUUAUUAAUAUGCAUUAUUCCCUUAAAUAAAAUGGUGCACUAAAGAAAAAUAAAAGAGCUUGUAAUAGAGACAUUAAGCAAAUUUCUUGAUUUGCUUAGUAUAAAACUUAAGUGUUAGGGAAACAAAAUCAUUUAAUAAUUAUAUCAUUUACCAUAAGAAAUUAAGGUCCUAAUUAAACCAUCAUAGAACAUAGUGUAUAUUUCUGUGCAUAUACAGUGGAACCUCGGUACUUGAACAGCUCAGUACUCGAAUUUGGUAUUCGAAUGCUUUGUUCGGUAAACAAAUUACUCUGUAGUUGACCGUUUGCUUGGCACUCGA
Non-coding RNA from Cherax quadricarinatus, 7889 nucleotides. NCBI's taxonomy places the organism in Eukaryota, Metazoa, Arthropoda, Malacostraca, Decapoda, Parastacidae. The record is from RefSeq and is a predicted model, not a curated record.